GCGUCAUUUCACCACUCAAGCCUCGCUUGGUAAUGGGCGUCCGCGGCGUUCCCGCCGCGCGCCCCAAUGUCUCCGGCUGAGCCGUCCGUCUCUAAGCGUUGUGGUCUAUCUAUCCGCUUCGGAGCGCGGGCCGGUUUGCGCCGUUAAACCCCCCAUCAAAGGUUGACCUCGGAUCAGGUAGGGAUACCCGCUGAACUUAA
This 200-nucleotide unclassified non-coding RNA is filed under the name soil metagenome. RNAcentral describes it as "partial contains internal transcribed spacer 2 and large subunit ribosomal RNA". The record is from RNAcentral.